This 1372-nucleotide ribosomal RNA is filed under the name uncultured bacterium. Its description in RNAcentral is "bacterial SSU rRNA". It matches the Rfam family "Bacterial small subunit ribosomal RNA", at positions 28 to 1381 of the family's 1533-position model. The record is from RNAcentral.
GAUGAACGCUGGCGGCGUGCCUAAUACAUGCAAGUCGAGCGAACGGACGAGAAGCUUGCUUCUCUGAUGUUAGCGGCGGACGGGUGAGUAACGCGUGGAUAACCUACCUAUAAGACUGGGAUAACUUCGGGAAACCGGAGCUAAUACCGGAUAAUAUUUUGAACCGCAUGGUUCAAAAGUGAAAGACGGUCUUGCUGUCACUUAUAGAUGGAUCCGCGCUGCAUUAGCUAGUUGGUAAGGUAACGGCUUACCAAGGCAACGAUGCAUAGCCGACCUGAGAGGGUGAUCGGCCACACUGGAACUGAGACACGGUCCAGACUCCUACGGGAGGCAGCAGUAGGGAAUCUUCCGCAAUGGGCGAAAGCCUGACGGAGCAACGCCGCGUGAGUGAUGAAGGUCUUCGGAUCGUAAAACUCUGUUAUUAGGGAAGAACAUAUGUGUAAGUAACUGUGCACAUCUUGACGGUACCUAAUCAGAAAGCCACGGCUAACUACGUGCCAGCAGCCGCGGUAAUACGUAGGUGGCAAGCGUUAUCCGGAAUUAUUGGGCGUAAAGCGCGCGUAGGCGGUUUUUUAAGUCUGAUGUGAAAGCCCACGGCUCAACCGUGGAGGGUCAUUGGAAACUGGAAAACUUGAGUGCAGAAGAGGAAAGUGGAAUUCCAUGUGUAGCGGUGAAAUGCGCAGAGAUAUGGAGGAACACCAGUGGCGAAGGCGACUUUCUGGUCUGUAACUGACGCUGAUGUGCGAAAGCGUGGGGAUCAAACAGGAUUAGAUACCCUGGUAGUCCACGCCGUAAACGAUGAGUGCUAAGUGUUAGGGGGUUUCCGCCCCUUAGUGCUGCAGCUAACGCAUUAAGCACUCCGCCUGGGGAGUACGACCGCAAGGUUGAAACUCAAAGGAAUUGACGGGGACCCGCACAAGCGGUGGAGCAUGUGGUUUAAUUCGAAGCAACGCGAAGAACCUUACCAAAUCUUGACAUCCUUUGACAACUCUAGAGAUAGAGCCUUCCCCUUCGGAGGACAAAGUGACAGGUGGUGCAUGGUUGUCGUCAGCUCGUGUCGUGAGAUGUUGGGUUAAGUCCCGCAGCGAGCGCAACCCUUAAGCUUAGUUGCCAUCAUUAAGUUGGGCACUCUAAGUUGACUGCCGGUGACAAACCGGAGGAAGGUGGGGAUGACGUCAAAUCAUCAUGCCCCUUAUGACUUGGGCUACACACGUGCUACAAUGGACAAUACAAAGGGCAGCGAAACCGCGAGGUCAAGCAAAUCCCAUAAAGUUGUUCUCAGUUCGGAUUGUAGUCUGCAACUCGACUACAUGAAGCUGGAAUCGCUAGUAAUCGUAGAUCAGCAUGCUACGGUGAAUACGUUCCCGGGUCU